CGAACGCUGGCGGCGUGCUUAACACAUGCAAGUCGACCGGAAAGGCUCCAGCUUGCUGGAGUGCUCGAGUGGCGAACGGGUGAGUAACACGUGGGCAAUCUGCCCUGCACUCUGGGAUAAGCCUGGGAAACUGGGUCUAAUACCGGAUAGGACCUUUCUCCUCAUGGGGUUUGGUGGAAAGUUUUUCGGUGCAGGAUGAGCCCGCGGCCUAUCAGCUUGUUGGUGGGGUAAUGGCCUACCAAGGCGACGACGGGUAGCCGGCCUGAGAGGGUGAUCGGCCACAUUGGGACUGAGAUACGGCCCAGACUCCUACGGGAGGCAGCAGUGGGGAAUAUUGCACAAUGGGCGAAAGCCUGAUGCAGCGACGCCGCGUGAGGGAUGACGGCCUUCGGGUUGUAAACCUCUUUCAGUAGGGACGAAGCGCAAGUGACGGUACCUGCAGAAGAAGCACCGGCUAACUACGUG
RNAcentral lists this ribosomal RNA (465 nucleotides) under uncultured bacterium. RNAcentral's name for it is "partial 16S ribosomal RNA". It matches the Rfam family "Bacterial small subunit ribosomal RNA", at positions 30 to 507 of the family's 1533-position model. The record is from RNAcentral.